GACGAACGCUGGCGGCGUGCUUAACACAUGCAAGUCGAGCGGAAAGGCCCUUCGGGGUACUCGAGCGGCGAACGGGUGAGUAACACGUGAGUAACCUGCCCCAGACUUUGGGAUAACCCUCGGAAACGGGGGCUAAUACCGGAUACGACACAGCUUCGCAUGGGGUCUGUGUGGAAAGUUUUUCGGUUUGGGAUGGGCUCGCGGCCUAUCAGCUUGUUGGUGGGGUGAUGGCCUACCAAGGCGACGACGGGUAGCCGGCCUGAGAGGGCGACCGGCCACACUGGGACUGAGACACGGCCCAGACUCCUACGGGAGGCAGCAGUGGGGAAUAUUGCACAAUGGGCGGAAGCCUGAUGCAGUGACGCCGCGUGAGGGAUGACGGCCUUCGGGUUGUAAACCUCUUUCAGCAGGGACGAAGCGUAAGUGACGGUACCUGCAGAAGAAGCGCCGGCCAACUACGUG
Molecule: ribosomal RNA, 462 nt
Filed under: uncultured bacterium
Lineage: Bacteria
Description: partial 16S ribosomal RNA
Rfam family: Bacterial small subunit ribosomal RNA
Source: RNAcentral